GACAGAGGUGCCAAGCGUUAGGCGGAAUCACUGGGCUUAAAGCGUGUGUAGGUGGAUGCCUAAGUGCCUUGUGAAAUCCCACGGCUCAACCGUGGAAUUGCUGGGCAUACUGGGUGUCUUGAGCCAUCCAGGGGUCGCUGGAACAAACGGUGGAGCGGUGAAAUGCGUAGAUAUCGUUUGGAACGCCAAUGGUGAAAACAGGCGACUGGGGAUGAGCUGACACUGAGACACGAAAGCCAGGGGAGCAAACGGG
Molecule: ribosomal RNA, 253 nt
Filed under: uncultured bacterium
Lineage: Bacteria
Description: partial 16S ribosomal RNA
Rfam family: Bacterial small subunit ribosomal RNA
Source: RNAcentral